This 1290-nucleotide ribosomal RNA is filed under the name Cellulomonas sp. S20. Its description in RNAcentral is "bacterial SSU rRNA". It matches the Rfam family "Bacterial small subunit ribosomal RNA", at positions 94 to 1397 of the family's 1533-position model. Lineage: Bacteria; Bacillati; Actinomycetota; Actinomycetes; Micrococcales; Cellulomonadaceae. The record is from RNAcentral.
AGUGGCGAACGGGUGAGUAACACGUGAGCAACCUGCCCCUUACUCUGGGAUAAGCCUUGGAAACGAGGUCUAAUACCGGAUACGAGACGCACGGGCAUCUGUAGCGUCUGGAAAGAUUUAUCGGUGAGGGAUGGGCUCGCGGCCUAUCAGCUUGUUGGUGGGGUAAUGGCCUACCAAGGCGACGACGGGUAGCCGGCCUGAGAGGGCGACCGGCCACACUGGGACUGAGACACGGCCCAGACUCCUACGGGAGGCAGCAGUGGGGAAUAUUGCACAAUGGGCGCAAGCCUGAUGCAGCGACGCCGCGUGCGGGAUGACGGCCUUCGGGUUGUAAACCGCUUUCAGCAGGGAAGAAGCGCAAGUGACGGUACCUGCAGAAGAAGCGCCGGCUAACUACGUGCCAGCAGCCGCGGUAAUACGUAGGGCGCAAGCGUUGUCCGGAAUUAUUGGGCGUAAAGAGCUCGUAGGCGGUUUGUCGCGUCUGCUGUGAAAACCUCAGGCUCAACCUGGGGCUUGCAGUGGGUACGGGCAGACUAGAGUGCGGUAGGGGUGACUGGAAUUCCUGGUGUAGCGGUGGAAUGCGCAGAUAUCAGGAGGAACACCGAUGGCGAAGGCAGGUCACUGGGCCGCAACUGACGCUGAGGAGCGAAAGCAUGGGGAGCGAACAGGAUUAGAUACCCUGGUAGUCCAUGCCGUAAACGUUGGGCACUAGGUGUGGGGUCCAUUCCACGGAUUCCGUGCCGCAGCAAACGCAUUAAGUGCCCCGCCUGGGGAGUACGGCCGCAAGGCUAAAACUCAAAGAAAUUGACGGGGGCCCGCACAAGCGGCGGAGCAUGCGGAUUAAUUCGAUGCAACGCGAAGAACCUUACCAAGGCUUGACAUACACCGGAAAAGUGCAGAGAUGUGCUCCCCGCAAGGUCGGUGUACAGGUGGUGCAUGGUUGUCGUCAGCUCGUGUCGUGAGAUGUUGGGUUAAGUCCCGCAACGAGCGCAACCCUCGUCCCAUGUUGCCAGCGGGUUAUGCCGGGGACUCAUGGGAGACUGCCGGGGUCAACUCGGAGGAAGGUGGGGAUGACGUCAAAUCAUCAUGCCCCUUAUGUCUUGGGCUUCACGCAUGCUACAAUGGCCGGUACAAAGGGCUGCGAUACCGCGAGGUGGAGCGAAUCCCAAAAAGCCGGUCUCAGUUCGGAUUGGGGUCUGCAACUCGACCCCAUGAAGUCGGAGUCGCUAGUAAUCGCAGAUCAGCAACGCUGCGGUGAAUACGUUCCCGGGCCUUGUACACACCGCCCGU